This 475-nucleotide ribosomal RNA is filed under the name uncultured bacterium. RNAcentral's name for it is "bacterial SSU rRNA". It matches the Rfam family "Bacterial small subunit ribosomal RNA", at positions 28 to 524 of the family's 1533-position model. The record is from RNAcentral.
GAUGAACGCUGGCGGCGUGCCUAACACAUGCAAGUCGAACGAACCUAAUCUUCGGAAAGGGUUAGUGGCGCACGGGUGAGUAACACGUAGGUGACCUGCCCUGGAGUGGGGGAUAACUUCUCGAAAGAGAGGCUAAUACCGCAUAUGCUCGGCCAUUCAGUUGGUCGAGUAAAGCUCCGGCGCUCCAGGAGGGGCCUGCGUCCGAUUAGCUAGUUGGUGGGGUAAUGGCUCACCAAGGCUAUGAUCGGUAGCUGGUCUGAGAGGACGAUCAGCCACACUGGCACUGACACACGGGCCAGACUCCUACGGGAGGCAGCAGUGAGGAAUAUUGGUCAAUGGGCGAAAGCCUGAACCAGCAACGCCGCGUGAGGGAUGAAGGCCUUCGGGUCGGUAAACCUCUUUUCUGGGAGAAGAGACAAGGACGGUAUCCCAGGAAUAAAGUCUCGGCUAACUACGUGCCAGCAGCCGCGGUAAU